This 499-nucleotide ribosomal RNA is filed under the name uncultured bacterium. RNAcentral describes it as "partial 16S ribosomal RNA". It matches the Rfam family "Bacterial small subunit ribosomal RNA", at positions 30 to 523 of the family's 1533-position model. The record is from RNAcentral.
AUUGAACGCUGGCGGCAGGCUUAACACAUGCAAGUCGAGCGGGGGAAGGUAGCUUGCUACCGGACCUAGCGGCGGACGGGUGAGUAAUGCUUAGGAAUCUGCCUAUUAGUGGGGGACAACAUCUCGAAAGGGAUGCUAAUACCGCAUACGUCCUACGGGAGAAAGCAGGGGAUCUUCGGACCUUGCGCUAAUAGAUGAGCCUAAGUCGGAUUAGCUAGUUGGUGGGGUAAAGGCCUACCAAGGCGACGAUCUGUAGCGGGUCUGAGAGGAUGAUCCGCCACACUGGGACUGAGACACGGCCCAGACUCCUACGGGAGGCAGCAGUGGGGAAUAUUGGACAAUGGGGGGAACCCUGAUCCAGCCAUGCCGCGUGUGAAGAAGGCCUUAUGGUUGUAAAGCACUUUAGGCGAGGAGGAGGCUACUCUAGUUAAUACCUAGGGAUAGUGGACGUUACUCGCAGAAUAAGCACCGGCUAACUCUGUGCCAGCCGCCGCCGUAA